UACGAAGGGGGCUAGCGUUGUUCGGAAUCACUGGGCGUAAAGGGCGCGUAGGCGGCCGAUCAAGUCGGGUGUGAAAGCCCCGGGCUCAACCUGGGAAUUGCAUUCGAGACUGAAUAGCUAGGGUACGGUAGAGGGAAGCGGAAUUUCCGGUGUAGCGGUGAAAUGCGUAGAUAUCGGAAGGAACACCAACGGCGAAAGCACUCUGCUGGGCCGACACUGACACUGAGAGACGAAAGCUAGGGGAGCGAAUGGG
RNAcentral lists this ribosomal RNA (253 nucleotides) under uncultured bacterium. RNAcentral's name for it is "partial 16S ribosomal RNA". It matches the Rfam family "Bacterial small subunit ribosomal RNA", at positions 524 to 776 of the family's 1533-position model. The record is from RNAcentral.